AUUGAACGCUGGCGGCAUGCUUUACACAUGCAAGUCGAACGGCAGCGGGGUAGUGCUUGCACUACUGUCCGGCGAGUGGCGAACGGGUGAGUAAUAUAUCGGAACGUACCGAGUAAUGGGGGAUAACCAAUCGAAAGAUUGGCUAAUACCGCAUACGUCCUGAGGGAGAAAGCGGGGGAUCGCAAGACCUCGCGUUAUUCGAGCGGCCGAUAACUGAUUAGCUAGUUGGUGGGGUAAAGGCCUACCAAGGCGACGAUCAGUAGCGGGUCUGAGAGGACGAUCCGCCACACUGGGACUGAGACACGGCCCAGACUCCUACGGGAGGCAGCAGUGGGGAAUUUUGGACAAUGGGGGCAACCCUGAUCCAGCCAUGCCGCGUGUAUGAAGAAGGCCUUCGGGUUGUAAAGUACUUUUGUUAGGGAAGAAAAGGGAAGUGCUAAUACCACUUUUUGCUGACGGUACCUAAAGAAUAAGCACCGGCUAACUACGUGCCAGCAGCCGCGGUAAUACGUAGGGUGCGAGCGUUAAUCGGAAUUACUGGGCGUAAAGCGAGCGCAGACGGUUAUUUAAGCAGGAUGUGAAAUCCCCGGGCUUAACCUGGGAACUGCGUUCUGAACUGGAUAGCUAGAGCGUGUCAGAGGGGGGUAGAAUUCCACGUGUAGCAGUGAAAUGCGUAGAGAUGUGGAGGAAUACCGAUGGCGAAGGCAGCCCCCUGGGAUAACACUGACGUUCAUGCUCGAAAGCGUGGGUAGCAAACAGG
This 760-nucleotide ribosomal RNA is filed under the name uncultured Eikenella sp. RNAcentral's name for it is "bacterial SSU rRNA". It matches the Rfam family "Bacterial small subunit ribosomal RNA", at positions 28 to 776 of the family's 1533-position model. The record is from RNAcentral. Lineage: Bacteria; Pseudomonadati; Pseudomonadota; Betaproteobacteria; Neisseriales; Neisseriaceae.